This 195-nucleotide ribosomal RNA is filed under the name uncultured bacterium. RNAcentral describes it as "partial 16S rRNA". It matches the Rfam family "Bacterial small subunit ribosomal RNA", at positions 338 to 524 of the family's 1533-position model. The record is from RNAcentral.
CCUACGGGAGGCAGCAGAUCGGAAUAAUUCGCAAUGGGAGAAAUCCUGACGAUGCGACGCCGCGUGAGCGAUGAAGGCCUUCGGGUUGUAAAGCUCUGUGUUGUGGGAAGAAAACCUGGUAGGUGAAUAAUCUAUCAGCUUGACGGUACCAUAAUAGAAAGCCCCGCCUAACUACGUGCCAGCAGGCGCGGUAAU